GACGAAUGCUGGCUGCGUGCUUAACACAUGCAAGUCGAACGGUGAAGGGGAGCUUGCUCCCCGGAUCAGUGGCGAACGGGUGAGUAACACGUGGGCAACCUGCCCCCCACUCUGGGAUAACUCCGGGAAACCGGGGCUAAUACCGGAUACGACCGGGAGCGACAUCGCUCCUGGUGGAAAGAACUUCGGUGAGGGAUGGGCCCGCGGCCCAUCAGCUAGUUGGUGGGGUAACGGCCCACCAAGGCGACGGCGGGUAGCCGGCCGGAGAGGGCGACCGGCCAAACCGGGACUGAGACACGGCCCAGACUCCUACGGGAGGCAGCAGUGGGGAAUAUUGCGCAAUGGGCGAAAGCCUGACGCAGCGACGCAGCGUGAGGGACGAAGGCCUUCGGGUUGUAAACCUCUUUCAGCGGGGACGAAGCGAAAGUGACGGUACCCGCAGAAGAAGCACCGGCUAACUACGUGCCAGCCGCCGCUGUAA
This 481-nucleotide ribosomal RNA is filed under the name uncultured bacterium. RNAcentral's name for it is "partial 16S ribosomal RNA". It matches the Rfam family "Bacterial small subunit ribosomal RNA", at positions 28 to 523 of the family's 1533-position model. The record is from RNAcentral.